Molecule: long non-coding RNA, 529 nt
Filed under: Olea europaea subsp. europaea
Lineage: Eukaryota; Viridiplantae; Streptophyta; Magnoliopsida; Lamiales; Oleaceae
Source: RNAcentral
UAAAUGAAAAAAAUCCAAUUUUAAUCCUAAACUCACUUUUAGUCUGUAAGGUUCUUCCUCCAGAACGACAGUUCAAUUGAAUCCUUAUAGAAAAACUAAUCGUGUCUCCAUUUUGAAUGGAAAAAGUUGAUAUACAAGUUCGGAUAUGGAAGACAAGCUCAUUAUUAAAGAAGCACAGUUGGACAGAGGAAGAGGGAACAUAGGGAGGUAAAUUUUUUACUAUUUUCAGUGGCAGCUGUAUUUCUUUAUCUGGGCGUAUAGAAAAUGAGGUUUUUGUUUGGUUUUUAUGUGAUUGUGCACUGUUUGUAUUGAAAUAUUCGUAUAUUUUUAUCUUCAGUUGAGAAGUUAGUGAGAAAACCCCAACCCUAGUUUUUCCAGUGCUACCGUGAACUUUGAGGAUGAAGAAUUGUUCACUCCUGAAUGCCAGUUGAGUUUCAGACGAUGACAUGAACGGGGAUGAUUUUUGUAUGAGAAAAAUGCAGCAGAAUGUAUUGUGGUGUGAUUAAAUGCAAACCUUAGAGGCGUGUUU